AUUGAACGCUGGCGGCAGGCCUAACACAUGCAAGUCGAGCGGAUGAAGGGAGCUUCCUCCUGGAUUUAGCGGCGGACGGGUGAGUAAUGCCCAGGAAUCUGCCUGGCAGUGGGGGAUAACGUUCGGAAACGGGCGCUAAUACUGCAGACGACCUGAGGUCGAAAGGGGGGGACCUUCGGACCUCACGCUUUCAGAUGAGCCUAGCCCGCAUUAGCCAGUUGGUGGGGUUAAGGCCUACCAAGGCGACGAUCCGUAACUGGUUUGAGAGGCUGAUCAGUCACACUGGAAGGGAGAGUAGGUCCAGACUACUGCGGGACGCAACAGUGAGGAACAUGGAACCAUGCGCGAAAGCCUUAUACAGCCAUGCCGAGUGUAUGAAGAAGGUCUUCGGAUUGUAAAGCACAUUAAGUUGGGAGGAAGGUCAGUAAGUUAAUACCUUGCUGUUUUGACGUUACCAACAGAAUAAGCACCGGCUAACUUCGUG
RNAcentral lists this ribosomal RNA (484 nucleotides) under uncultured bacterium. Its description in RNAcentral is "partial 16S ribosomal RNA". It matches the Rfam family "Bacterial small subunit ribosomal RNA", at positions 30 to 507 of the family's 1533-position model. The record is from RNAcentral.